ACAAGCAGCGGAGCGUGUGGUUUAAUUCGAUGCAACGCGAAGAACCUUACAGGGUUUGACAUGCAAGUGGUAGGAAGCCGAAAGGUGACCGACCCUUCGGGGAGCUUGCACAGGUGCUGCAUGGCUGUCGUCAGCUCGUGUCGUGAGAUGUUCGGUUAAGUCCGCUAACGAGCGCAACCCUCGCUGUGUGUUAUAUGUGUCACACGGGACUGCCGGUCUUAAGCCGGAGGAAGGUGGGGAUGAUGUCAAGUCAGCAUGGCCUUUAUAUCCUGGGCUACACACACGCUACAAUGGCCAACACAAUAGGUUGCUAAGCCGCGAGGUGGCGCCAAUCCAUAAAGUUGGUCUCAGUUCAGAUUGUAGGCUGCAACCCGCCUGCAUGAAGAUGGAGUUGCUAGUAACCGCAGGUCAGCUAUACUGCGGUGAAUACGUUCCCGGGGCCU
Molecule: ribosomal RNA, 443 nt
Filed under: uncultured Leptolinea sp.
Lineage: Bacteria; Bacillati; Chloroflexota; Anaerolineae; Anaerolineales; Anaerolineaceae
Description: bacterial SSU rRNA
Rfam family: Bacterial small subunit ribosomal RNA
Source: RNAcentral